This 253-nucleotide ribosomal RNA is filed under the name uncultured bacterium. RNAcentral describes it as "partial 16S ribosomal RNA". It matches the Rfam family "Bacterial small subunit ribosomal RNA", at positions 524 to 776 of the family's 1533-position model. The record is from RNAcentral.
UACGUAGGGUGCGAGCGUUGUCCGGAAUUAUUGGGCGUAAAGAGCUCGUAGGCGGCCUGUCGCGUCGGAUGUGAAAGCCCGGGGCUUAACCCCGGGUCUGCAUUCGAUACGGGCAGGCUAGAGUGUGGUAGGGGAGAUCGGAAUUCCUGGUGUAGCGGUGAAAUGCGCAGAUAUCAGGAGGAACACCGGUGGCGAAGGCGGAUCUCUGGGCCAUUACUGACGCUGUGGAGCGAAAGCGUGGGGAGCGAACAGG